CGAAUGCAGGGCAUGGCAGUGUACUUGUGCUGGGCAGAUGUACUGAACUGCUGGAAGGACUGUGGGAAUGAGAAGCUGCAUUUCUCUUGGACAGCCAGACUGCAUCAGUUCUGCCUUCCUUUCCCUGAGCUGAACGCACGGUGUGUGUGAAGCCUUGUGAUGGGAAACCCACCGUCCCCAGAGAGCGGGCGCAGAAAGGAAUGGAGCUGAGAUGCACCUGAGUGCUGUGAGUCCUCCUCUGAGGAUGGGGAGGAGCCCCAGCUGCUAAAACACCUUUGUUACAAAGAGUGGUGAAAGCAGGAGUGGAUAUGGAAGAUGUAGGUUGCUCUGGGAGGCAAGGUGGAAGUUUCCAAUGUUGUGCAGGUUCAGCACGCUCCUGCUGCCUUGGUGUGCCACGCUGCCCGCCCUUUCUACGCUGUGUCAGGUUUUUGUCCUUUAUUUUCUAAGGUAGGAAAACCAAUUUCUGGGCCAGGAGAAGAAGCAAUGCAGCAAUCUUCUCUGCACGGCCCACUUUGCCUGAGUUGCCAAGUGCUCCUGGGGUAACGAUAGGAUGUGAUGAGCCGGCCUUUGUGGCAGGGGCUGUGGCUUUAUUUUAUGCCUGUCAGAACUUGAGGCCUAGGAUUUUCCUCUCAGAGUGCCCCCCGUCUAUUUUAAAUGAUAAAAAAUGAUAUAUUAGAAACGUCUUCCCUCCUUGUCUUAGAAUAAUGCAUUGACUUUGGCUAUUUCUGUCUUUGCAUUCCUUUAGCAACUGGGCUGCUGAUGCAGCUGCACGCCUCUCCCAUUUUGUCCUUCUGCUUUGUGUCAAAGAAUAGUAAAAUAUGCCAUCUGUGUGUGGGAUUCCCUGGAAGUACUUUACUUAGUUUGCUUCCAGGAAGCAACGGUGUGGAAAUGAUGGCGGUGUGAGCCAGCAGCCCGCGCAGCGACCUGAUGUCUGAUUGUUUGGGUCUGUCAAAAAGCACCACGAUGAGGAAAGAAGGUUUGCAUGGAUUGUGUGCUGCCUGUGUCAGUCCAGCCCUGUGGACACGGCAUGGCAGGGAGAAGGGAUUUCCCUUCUGAUGGGAAAUGCCCGAGGAAUGUUGGCACCCCGCGCGUUGGUGUGUAAGCGCUGCUGAAUGGGCAGCUCAGCUUCUGUGUCACUCAGCCACGUGUGGCAGAGCAGAUCAGGCUUUGUGCAGGCGUGGGCCCAUCGCUUUGUGCCUUACAAGGAGUUGAAAACCUUCUCUUUUUGAGUCGUGUUUCCAAGUUUCACCACCAUCGGCGAAGCUGAUGUUGGUUUUUUUUCCAUCCCUCAAUUGAGUCCCUAUUUUCCUAAAUGCACAGGAAUGUGGAGGUAACCACCUACAGCAAAGUGAGUGAUUUUGGUAUUUAUUUCUGAGCGCGGCACUCAUUUCUGUUUGGAGGUGUGCCUUAAUGUACGGUGCCUGUCUUAAUUCUGAGCAAGGUUCCAGUUGCGGCUGACUUGCCCAGGCUGCAACACGUGGUAGUGACACAGCCUUGGGCUUGUGAGUUUGCCUUCAUCGCACCUUUUAUUUCUGUGCCUUGCAGGGCAGCUCGUGCUGGAAGUGGGCGGUAUCACAGUGUGAGUGAAGGCCAGUGCAGGAGCAAUUUCUGAUGUGAGGAAGGAACUGCAGGCUAAUGGGCUCUGCGGCAUCUUUGGUCUGAAUGCAGAGGAAGCAGGAAUGAUCUUGCAGAAGAAGGUGAGGAACUCUUCAGCAGGAAGCCCCAAAGCUUGCAGAAAGCUGCAAGAGAGCUGGAGCAAGUGUGGAUGCCCAGGGGAAGUGCAGCCCCAGUGUUGGAGCAAUGCCGGGCCAUGGGGUGCUGCGGCCCAGGAACAGAGCUGUUCUGCCUUUGCAAGCAGGCUUGAAAGAAGGACUUUUCUGCCUUCCUAAAAAACAGAGGGCUGGCUUAUCCGAAUACUUGCUGAUUGUUUGGAAGCCCAAACCUUUCCAGCAGCCAAGCUGUAGGCAGCCAGGAAGCAGCAUCUGCUUGGUGUGAUUGUGCAGUGCCUGAGCAAGAGUGUGACCCAAGCUGGGUGCACAGGAGUCAUCUGAAUUUCUCUGUUCCUUUACUUCAACUAACUCCACUGGGUGACGCUUGAGUUGGUUUCUCAGCCUUUGGAUGUAGGAGGUGACCACCACUCCCUUUGCUGUGAUGAAAGCACAGCGGUGAUGCAGGCACUCGCUGAGGUCACAGUCGUUGCCGGGCUGGGAGCGUUUGUGCCCCAGCUGGGAGCAGAGCUGGUGCUCUGGUGAGCGUGGUGCACGCAGGCUGAGCUGUUGUGGAGCUUCGUUGAGAGAUCAUCUGUGAGAGCCCGGUUGGAAGCAGCGCUGCGGCGUGUGCGUGAGCUGGGCACAGCUGAGGCCGAGCCGUGAGCAGGUUCUUUCCUUCGGGUUGGUUUCCCAAAGGAGAUUUUGGGAAUGGAGGCAGUUGAAGAAAGCCAGUGAAGGCAGCUGUGUCCAAGAGUGGGGGCUGUGCCUGUGGAGAGGAGCCCAGGAAGCUGAGCUUCCCCUGAGACGUUCCCCAGCAUGUCUCAGCAGGGAGACAGUUCCCAUUCCUGCUUUGCGCGUGGAAAGAAGCCAUGCGGUGCUGUUCCCUGUGUUUGGGAGCAGCAGCCAGCAGGCUGCCCCGAUGCCAGCUGGGCCUUGCAGCGCGCAAAGGGACGCGACGGGGA
This is a long non-coding RNA of Tympanuchus pallidicinctus (lesser prairie-chicken), 2671 nucleotides long. RefSeq lists it as uncharacterized. The record is from RefSeq and is a predicted model, not a curated record. NCBI's taxonomy places the organism in Eukaryota, Metazoa, Chordata, Aves, Galliformes, Phasianidae. The transcript has 3 exons.